GGACUACACGGGUUUCUAAUCCUGUUUGCUACCCACGCUUUCGUGUCUCAGCGUCAGUCGUGGUCCAGUAAGCUGUCUACACCGCAGGUGUUCCUCCUGAUAUCUACGCAUUUCACCGCUACACCAGGAAUUCCGCUUACCUCUCCCACACUCUAGCAUUCCAGUUUCUAGCGCACCCUCCCAGUUGAGCCGGGAGAUUUCACACCAGACUUAGAACACCGCCUACACACUCUUUACGCCCAGUAAUUCCGAACAACGCUCGCUGCCUACGUAUUACCGCGGCGGCUGGCAC
Molecule: ribosomal RNA, 292 nt
Filed under: uncultured Acidobacteriota bacterium
Lineage: Bacteria; Pseudomonadati; Acidobacteriota
Description: uncultured Acidobacteria bacterium partial 16S ribosomal RNA
Source: RNAcentral